RNAcentral lists this non-coding RNA (26 nucleotides) under Homo sapiens (human). The record is from RNAcentral. Lineage: Eukaryota; Metazoa; Chordata; Mammalia; Primates; Hominidae.
CCCAAGCAAGGGUCUUUGAUGGGCAC